UUCGUUUACCACAACUAACCUUACAGUUCUCUUUCGCUCUCUCCCCCCUCUUUCCAUGGCAGAGCCUUUCCCUAUCUCCAUGACCAUUUUUGGCUAACAAUUCAACUAUUCUUCAGCCAUGGCAGAGUAUUGUCGUACCAUAUUCGGGUAAAUCUCUGUCUCUCUUGCUUUAUCUUUUCAAGAUCCAUGUCGUUCUGUGAUCUCCUUCAAUUUGGUCAACAUAAAAGACCAAAAUUACGUUUGAAAUCUCUGUGGGAGAAUCACCAAGGCAGAGAUUCAAUUUCAAACGGCUACUUUUCAAAAUCAAAUCUGUAAAAUUCCCGCUCAAGAAGCCCUAGAUAUAAUCUGCUGUUAUAAAUACCUGCAUUUGGCCUUAAUUUCGGACCAGCUCGUAGUCGCCGCUACUCCCCUCCAAACUUUUCGAAAUACCUUCUACUUCAUACAUAUCCUCCAUAAAUAUAAGCUUUAAAUCGUGUUUCAUUGCUCAUCUUCUCCCCUCUCAGAUCUUUGUUGGCCUUCAGCCGUGACAAAGAUUUAUGUCGGUCUGAUUGUGUCGCUUGGGUCGUGAAGGAGGUUUGAAGCGGAGAUUCGAGUAGUCGUUGGCAAACCCCAGUUUAUUGCCCUGCAAAAGGUCAGUGACCUCUAACAUUAAGUCCCUCUUUCUGUUAUUCUUAUUUUUUUAUGUUAAAGGCAAAUAGUUAUUUCUGUUUGAAAAUUAGUAGUUCACUUCCUAUGUAGAGAUCAUGAUUUAGGACUCAUUUUGUACACAUAAAAGUCAUGUUUAUAGGAAAUUGUAUUCCAGUCGUGUUUGUCCAGAAACCCAUUAAUAAAUGCUUGAUAAAUUUCCUACACAACUAUUUUGUGUGUUUUAUGUUGUUAAUACAUGAUCAACGUUGUUCUUUUGUAAAUGCCAUGCUCAGCUGAUGUUUCAUUUCUAAUUUCUUGUUAAGGAUAAACGUAUUAUGUGAAAAAGCUCCUUCUUUCUUAUGAACUUCAAUAGCGUUUAUGAGUAAAAAUGAGUAAUCUUUUAACUCAAGAAUUUGGGAGUGUAGUAUUUGUGGACAGAUUACUAUUUAUCUGUCAAAGGUUAAAAAAAGAAAAGAUAAGAGAAUGCAUUCUGUAAGAGUAUUGGUGUAUCUUGUAUACCUUCCAGCAAUAGGAGCUUAGGUUCUUACAUGUCCAGAUAACCAUGACAAAUAUAAGGUUAUUGCAAAAGUUAAUCGAAUAUGUUGCGAGUAAUUUGUGGAUUUACAUUAUUCAUAAAUAGCAUACUCAUACGGUCUUGUUGAUGGCUGCAUUUCUUAAGUAUUGAAUAGCUUUAAAUCUAUGUAAACUCCUUCGGUUAAGACAAUAGCAGAAAACUUGAUGGUCUCCCCAUAAACCUGAGACCUUAACUUAUGCUCGUUUUGGCCUCUCUCUGUUAAUGGAAGUAUAUUGCUUUAUGAUAAGCACCAUGUUUAGGCCUUUCUUCUUAUUUUUAAAUGCCCAAUAUCACGAGCAUGGGUUUUAAUGAAAUAAUUAGCUUCGGAUAUCCUUUGGCAGUAUUUAGCUAAGAAUGUCCCGUAAAUGAGUGAGUUACACUCGCUAUUUAGCAUGCCUAUAGAGGCCUUAUAGAUAGUUCUUCUACCCAAGCUCACUUAGAAAGUUAAGCUCUUUGUCAGAACUAUGGUAUAGAAUUCCAUCCCUAAGAUACAUUUUUAUGUAUUAAUAGCUAGACCAAACUAAGCAAGCUAUACUAUCCUUGAUGCCUUCUCUGUCACAAUGAAGUAGAGAUGCUUAUUUGCAUUAUGAUAAUGAAAUACAUACUGCAUCUAAGAUUUAUUCACUCAUUUUCUCAUCAUAUAAGAUUUAUUUGCUUACUUAGUAAAAGCAUGCCUUAGGAUACCCUGCUUAACUUGUAAUUGCCCCAUCUUAAGUUCUAAAUGAGAAUAAUAGAAAACAUCUGCUUGAAUACUUCGUUAGAGGAUGUUCUUGAAUCAGUGUUAUGAAUCUGAUAGUAUAACAUUCUAACAUGAUGAAUGUGUCUGCUAUGUUGUAAGCUUAUAAGUUUAUAGUAUGAUUCAUAAUGUCUUUAUCCUAUGUUUGCUCGGAAACUAAGUUCAUUCUAAUUCUUGUUUUGUUCUCUUUUGCAUGUGCACUUGGAGCUAACAUGGAGUCUUAAUGCAAGACUCUCCAUACCCGAGCACGGAAUCAUCACAUCCAAUGUUCUUAUAGAGUCACCGGAUAACAAGAAAACAAGCAAAUUUGCUUGGGGUCGCUUAUGGCGGCUUUCAUUAUUCUUUUACUAUUCUGUC
This 2294-nucleotide long non-coding RNA is filed under the name Nicotiana tabacum (common tobacco). Its description in RNAcentral is "long non-coding RNA (NTAB_LNC012064)". Lineage: Eukaryota; Viridiplantae; Streptophyta; Magnoliopsida; Solanales; Solanaceae. The record is from RNAcentral.